CAGCAGCCGCGGUAAUACAGAGGGUGCGAGCGUUAAUCGGAUUUACUGGGCGUAAAGCGUGCGUAGGCGGCUUCUUAAGUCGGAUGUGAAAUCCCUGAGCUUAACUUAGGAAUUGCAUUCGAUACUGGGAAGCUAGAGUAUGGGAGAGGAUGGUAGAAUUCCAGGUGUAGCGGUGAAAUGCGUAGAGAUCUGGAGGAAUACCGAUGGCGAAGGCAGCCAUCUGGCCUAAUACUGACGCUGAGGUACGAAAGCAUGGGGAGCAAACAGGAUUAGAUACCCGCGUAGUCCCUGUCUCUUAUAU
RNAcentral lists this ribosomal RNA (301 nucleotides) under uncultured bacterium. RNAcentral describes it as "partial 16S ribosomal RNA". It matches the Rfam family "Bacterial small subunit ribosomal RNA", at positions 509 to 809 of the family's 1533-position model. The record is from RNAcentral.